Molecule: ribosomal RNA, 497 nt
Filed under: uncultured bacterium
Lineage: Bacteria
Description: partial 16S ribosomal RNA
Rfam family: Bacterial small subunit ribosomal RNA
Source: RNAcentral
GAUGAACGCUGGCGGCGUGCCUAAUACAUGCAAGUCGAGCGAAAAGAUGAGGAGCUUGCUGCUCUGACGUUAGCGGCGGACGGGUGAGUAACACGUGGAUAACCUACCUAUAUUACUGGGAUAACUUCGGGAAACCGGAGCUAAUACCGUAUAAUAUAUUGAACCGCAUGGGGCAAUAGUGAAAGACGGUUUUGCGGUCACUUAUAGAUGCAUCCGCGCUGCAUUAGCUAGUUGGGAAGGUAAAGGCUUACCAAGGCAACGAUGCGUAGCCGAGCUGAGAGGGUGAUCGGCCACCUGGGAGGUGAGACGCGCACCAGGCUCCUACGGGAGGCAGCAGUCGGGAAUCUGCCGCAGCAGGCGAAAGCAUGGCAGAGCAACGCGACGUGAGUGAUGAAGGUCUUCGGAUCGUAAAGCUCUCUUAUGAGGGAAGAACAAAUGUGUAGGUAAAUGUGCACGUCGUGACGGUAACUAAUCAGAAAGCCACGGCUAACUACGUG